GGCCGCGGUGUAACCCUCCUCUUCCUCGUCCGAGCUCAGCUUCCAAGCACCAGGUCCGGCGGAGAAACCUCGGGACCCACGGCACAGGCGGGCGCAGACACGCAGACCGGGUCGCAACGUGAGAAUUGCAGGCGGAGGGGGGCCAGCCGAGCCAACUGCACCUGAACUGGGAUCAGAACCACCGUGGAGGCCUGCGGUUUAGGACAACAAGAGUGAGUUUUGAAUAUUGUUCACUCUCGAAGACGGUGAUGUGUCACAGCACCCAGGUGUGAAGAUCCAGGGAGCAGCAGAUGUUCCCUGUGGUCAGCCGCUGUCCAGGAGGAGAUGACCCCCUUUCUGCCAUAUCAUCAGAAGGUCCGUCGCAGCCUGGUGCUACGUCACGAUGCCUCUGUCGUUCUCUUCCCUUCCUCUCAUCACACAGGCAUCUUCUCACAUCAUCACCAGAAGAAGGUCACUUGGAAAAUCUGAAAAUCUGUGAACCACUAGUCUGCAUAAUUUCCAGGACGCCUUCCAUCUCUACAAUUCGAUGUGUGUGUGUGACCCAAAGUAAAACAGCAGAGAGUAUGUUGGGGGGUUCCCCCCUUAAACCUUUAUACAGUGUUUGUUUGUUUG
Manis pentadactyla (Chinese pangolin) is the source of this 612-nucleotide long non-coding RNA. RefSeq lists it as uncharacterized. The transcript has 4 exons. The record is from RefSeq and is a predicted model, not a curated record. Lineage: Eukaryota; Metazoa; Chordata; Mammalia; Pholidota; Manidae.